AACACUAGCAACGUUGCUGAUUAUUAUUUCUUAUCAGUGAAUAAAUGCAACUGAGUUCAGCAAAGCAAGCUCUCAUCGAGAACAGAAUAGUACGCGCUAAACGAAAAACAAAUCAAUGGACGUAACAAUUCCAAAUCCAAUAUCGACAUUUCUCUCCAUUCACAGGACUUCGCUCUCUCGUGUUUGUUUUGAUUGGGUAGCAAAAUCUCACCCGUUAUAGACAAAUAUCGUUUAUCAGAUUGAUAAUAUUCAUAAUCAGUGUCACCGAGUAUGUCAACGAAUCAGUUUGGUCCACUGUAAGCAAAACGUAUCAAAGUUCAACAGCAGCCAAGGAACAAGCUCCGCCUAAGCCCAAAAUGCUACUAGAGGUAAUAACUCGUCCAGCGACAACGCUGUUCGAACAGCUAGCCAUUCUGAUAAAACUACCGGCGGCCACAGUUUACAUCAUCACGAAGGGCGUUUUUCUGCUCGUCAACACGUUAACUAAAUUCGGACGAAUGAUAAAUCAAUGAUGCACGAAAGGAUACUUUAUUUCGCCUGUUCAGUUUUCGUGAGAGCGAGAAUCGCUUCGCAAGCCGCGUUUGUAUUGUCUGUAGAUAAAACUCGAAAAUAUCAAAAAGGAUUUUUUAUAUUGUAUUUAUACAUGUUUUAUGCUUCUCGAGAUUGUUAGCAACGCGCAAAGAAAUAGAGAUGUUCCAAAAUAAA
Molecule: long non-coding RNA, 705 nt
Organism: Toxorhynchites rutilus septentrionalis
Lineage: Eukaryota; Metazoa; Arthropoda; Insecta; Diptera; Culicidae
Exons: 2
Source: RefSeq, a predicted model, not a curated record